UCAACCCUACGGGGCGCAGCAGUGGGGGAUAUUGCACAAUGGGGGAAACCCUGAUGCAGCGACGCCGCGUGGGCGAAGAAGUAUUUCGUUAUGUAAAGCUCUAUCAGCAGGGAAGAAAAUGACGGUACCUGAGUAAGAAGCCCCGGCUAACUACGUGCCAGCGGCCGCGGUAAUACGUAGGGGGCAAGCGUUAUCCGGAUUUACUGGGUGUAAAGGGAGCGUAGACGGCAGUGCAAGUCUGGAGUGAAAGGCGGGGGCUCAACCCCCGGACUGCUCUGGAAACUGUACGGCUGGAGUGCAGGAGG
RNAcentral lists this ribosomal RNA (305 nucleotides) under uncultured bacterium. RNAcentral's name for it is "bacterial SSU rRNA". It matches the Rfam family "Bacterial small subunit ribosomal RNA", at positions 333 to 655 of the family's 1533-position model. The record is from RNAcentral.